Molecule: ribosomal RNA, 423 nt
Filed under: uncultured bacterium
Lineage: Bacteria
Description: partial 16S ribosomal RNA
Rfam family: Bacterial small subunit ribosomal RNA
Source: RNAcentral
GAAUCUUCCGCAAUGGACGACAGUCUGACGGAGCAACGCCGCGUGAGUGAAGAAGGUUUUCGGAUCGUAAAACUCCGUUGUCGGAGAAGAAACAGUAGGAGAGUAACUGUUCCUACCCUGACGCUACCUGACCAGCAGGCCACGGCUAACUACGUACAAGCAGCCGCGGGACAACGUAGGUGGCAUGCGUUGUCCGUAGUUAUUGGGCGGAAAGCGAGCGCAGGUGGUUGCGUAAGUCUGAAGUGAAAGACCACGGCUCAACCGUGGAAGAACAUUGGAAACUGGGGAACUUGAAUGCAGAAGAGGAGAGUGGAAUUCCACGUGUAGCGGUGAAAUGAGUAGAUAUAUGGAGGAACACCAGUGGCGAAGGCGACUCUCUGGUCUGUUAUUGACACUGAGGCUCGAAAGCGUGGGGAGCAAUCA